RNAcentral lists this transfer RNA (94 nucleotides) under Paracoccus sp. (in: a-proteobacteria). Its description in RNAcentral is "tRNA-Sec". It matches the Rfam family "Selenocysteine transfer RNA". The record is from RNAcentral. Lineage: Bacteria; Pseudomonadati; Pseudomonadota; Alphaproteobacteria; Rhodobacterales; Paracoccaceae.
GGAAGAGCGACAUCUCCGGUGAGGUGCCCGGACUUCAAAUCCGGCGGGGGACGCGCGGCGUCUCUGGUGGGUUCGACUCCCGCCUCUUCCGCCA